GAUGAACGCUAGCGGCAGGCCUAACACAUGCAAGUCGAGGGGCAGCACAGAAAAAGCAAUGUUUUGGUGGCGACCGGCGGACGGGUGCGUAACGCGUAUGCAACCUACCUUUAACAGGGGGAUAACGGAGAGAAAUUUCCACUAAUACCCCAUAACAUCGAUCAAGGCAUCUUGAUUGGUUGAAAACUCCGGUGGUUAAAGAUGGGCGUGCGUUGUAUUAGGUAGUUGGUGAGGUAAUGGCUCACCAAGCCUACGAUACAUAGGGGGACUGAAAGGUUAGCCCCCCACACUGGUACUGAGACACGGACCAGACUCCUACGGGAGGCAGCAGUGAGGAAUAUUGGUCAAUGGGGGCAACCCUGAACCAGCCAUGCCGCGUGCAGGAAGACGGCUCUAUGAGUUGUAAACUGCUUUUAAACAGGGAUAAAGCACAGUAUGUAUACUGUGUUGAAGGUACUGUAAGAAUAAGGAUCGGCUAACUCCGUGCCAGCAGCCGCCGUAA
This 502-nucleotide ribosomal RNA is filed under the name uncultured bacterium. RNAcentral describes it as "partial 16S ribosomal RNA". It matches the Rfam family "Bacterial small subunit ribosomal RNA", at positions 28 to 523 of the family's 1533-position model. The record is from RNAcentral.